GAUGAAGAACGUAGCGAAAUGCGAUAAGUAAUGUGAAUUGCAGAAUUCAGUGAAUCAUCGAAUCUUUGAACGCACCUUGCGCCCCUUGGUUAUUCCAAAGGGCAUGCCUGUUUGAGUAUCAUGAACACCUCAACUCUUGUGGUUUCCCACAAUGAGCUUGGACUGUGGAGGUUUUGUUGGCCCUGUGGUCAGCUCCUCUCAAAUGGAUCAGCUUACCGGUGUUUGGUGGCAUUACGGGUGUGAUAACUAUCUACGCUCGUGGUCGUCUCCAAAUAACCUCCAGUGAUGGAGGUUCGCUGGAGCUUAUAAAUGUCUCUCCCCAGUGAAGACAGCCUUUGAACGGUCGAUCUCAAAUCAGGUAGGACUACCCGCUGAACUUAAGCAUAUCAAUACGCGGAGGA
Molecule: unclassified non-coding RNA, 401 nt
Filed under: soil metagenome
Description: partial contains 5.8S ribosomal RNA, internal transcribed spacer 2, and large subunit ribosomal RNA
Rfam family: 5.8S ribosomal RNA (bases 1-121)
Source: RNAcentral